UGGGGAAUUUUGGACAAUGGGCGAAAGCCUGAUCCAGCAAUGCCGCGUGUGUGAAGAAGGCCUUCGGGUUGUAAAGCACUUUUGUCCGGAAAGAAAUCCUUGGCUCUAAUACAGUCGGGGGAUGACGGUACCGGAAGAAUAAGCACCGGCUAACUACGUGCCAGCAGCCGCGGUAAUACGUAGGGUGCAAGCGUUAAUCGGAAUUACUGGGCGUAAAGCGUGCGCAGGCGGUUUGCUAAGACCGAUGUGAAAUCCCCGGGCUCAACCUGGGAACUGCAUUGGUGACUGGCAGGCUAGAGUAUGGCAGAGGGGGGUAGAAUUCCACGUGUAGCAGUGAAAUGCGUAGAGAUGUGGAGGAAUACCGAUGGCGAAGGCAGCCCCCUGGGCCAAUACUGACGCUCAUGCACGAAAAGCGUGGGGAGCAAAACAGGAUUAGAUACCCUGGUAGUCCACGCCCUAAAACGAUGUCAACUAGUUGUUGGGGAUUCAUUUCCUUAGUAACGUAGCUAACGCGUGAAGUUGACCGCCUGGGGGAGUACGGUCGCAAGAUUAAAACUCAAAGGAAUUGACGGGGUCAUAGCUG
RNAcentral lists this ribosomal RNA (583 nucleotides) under uncultured bacterium. Its description in RNAcentral is "partial 16S ribosomal RNA". It matches the Rfam family "Bacterial small subunit ribosomal RNA", at positions 355 to 932 of the family's 1533-position model. The record is from RNAcentral.